CCUACGGGAUGCACCAGUGGGGAAUUUUCCGCAAUGGGCGAAAGCCUGACGGAGCAAUGCCGCGUGUAUGAAGAAGGCCUUCGGGUUGUAAAGUACUUUCAGCGGGGAGGAAGGGAGUAAAGUUAAUACCUUUGCUCAUUGACGUUACCCGCAGAAGAAGCACCGGCUAACUCCGUGCCAGCAGCCGCGGUAAUACGGAGGGUGCAAGCGUUAAUCGGAAUUACUGGGCGUAAAGCGCACGCAGGCGGUUUGUUAAGUCAGAUGUGAAAUCCCCGGGCUCAACCUGGGAACUGCAUCUGAUACUGGCAAGCUUGAGUCUCGUAGAGGGGGGUAGAAUUCCAGGUGUAGCGGUGAAAUGCGUAGAGAUCUGGAGGAAUACCGGUGGCGAAGGCGGCCCCCUGGACGAAGACUGACGCUCAGGUGCGAAAGCGUGGGGAGCAAACAGGAUUAGAUACCCGGGUAGUC
RNAcentral lists this ribosomal RNA (465 nucleotides) under uncultured bacterium. RNAcentral's name for it is "bacterial SSU rRNA". It matches the Rfam family "Bacterial small subunit ribosomal RNA", at positions 338 to 795 of the family's 1533-position model. The record is from RNAcentral.